This 203-nucleotide long non-coding RNA is filed under the name Gallus gallus (chicken). The record is from RNAcentral. Lineage: Eukaryota; Metazoa; Chordata; Aves; Galliformes; Phasianidae.
AGUGUUCCUGAGCAGAUUUCACCUGUACUAUUGGUCGUUGCUACUGUUGAUCUAGCAGACUGUAAAGCAUUUAUUGGAGUUGCUCGAGGCGAACUUAAGCAUCUGUGGAAUAACAAGUCCAGGAAGUAAUUGCAUCCACAAGGAAAAUAUUUUUAUGUAUAAUUCAGUGACCCAUUUUAUAAACAUUGCGGUUCCACCUUGGA